CCUACGGGUGGCAGCAGUGGGGAAUAUUGCACAAUGGGGGAAACCCUGAUGCAGCAACGCCGCGUGAGUGAAGGAGCUUUUCGGCGCGUAAAGCCCUGUCAGCGGGGAAGAAAAAAGACGGUACCCGACCAAGAAGCCCCGGCUAACUACGUGCCAGCAGCCACGGUCAUACGUAGGGGGCGAGCGUUAUCCGGAAUUACUGGGUGUAACGGGAGCGUAGCCGGCGAGGUAAGUCUGAAGUUGAAUCACGCGGCCCAACCGCGGAACUGCUUUGGGAACUGUUUUGCUGGAGUAUGGGAGGGGUAAGCGGAAUUCCUGGUGUAGCGGUGAAAUGCGUAGAUAUCAGGAGGAACACCGGUGGCGAAGGCGGCUUACUGGAGCAUAACUGACGUUGAGGCUCGAAAGCGUGGGGAGCGAACAGGAUUAGAUACCCGAGUAGUC
RNAcentral lists this ribosomal RNA (441 nucleotides) under uncultured bacterium. Its description in RNAcentral is "partial 16S ribosomal RNA". It matches the Rfam family "Bacterial small subunit ribosomal RNA", at positions 338 to 795 of the family's 1533-position model. The record is from RNAcentral.